GCCGGGUGUGGUUGGUGGUGCACACCUGUAAUCCCAGUGGCUCAGAAGGCUGAGUCAGGAGGAUUGCAAGUUGGAGGCCAACCUCAGCAACUUAGUGAGGCCUUAAGCAACUUAGUGAGAACCUGCCUCAA
Molecule: small RNA, 131 nt
Filed under: Marmota monax (woodchuck)
Lineage: Eukaryota; Metazoa; Chordata; Mammalia; Rodentia; Sciuridae
Source: RNAcentral